RNAcentral lists this ribosomal RNA (694 nucleotides) under Escherichia coli. RNAcentral's name for it is "bacterial SSU rRNA". It matches the Rfam family "Bacterial small subunit ribosomal RNA", at positions 93 to 783 of the family's 1533-position model. The record is from RNAcentral. Lineage: Bacteria; Pseudomonadati; Pseudomonadota; Gammaproteobacteria; Enterobacterales; Enterobacteriaceae.
GAGUGGCGGACGGGUGAGUAAUGUCUGGGAAACUGCCUGAUGGAGGGGGAUAACUACUGGAAACGGUAGCUAAUACCGCAUAACGUCGCAAGACCAAAGAGGGGGACCUUAGGGCCUCUUGCCAUCGGAUGUGCCCAGAUGGGAUUAGCUAGUAGGUGGGGUAACGGCUCACCUAGGCGACGAUCCCUAGCUGGUCUGAGAGGAUGACCAGCCACACUGGAACUGAGACACGGUCCAGACUCCUACGGGAGGCAGCAGUGGGGAAUAUUGCACAAUGGGCGCAAGCCUGAUGCAGCCAUGCCGCGUGUAUGAAGAAGGCCUUCGGGUUGUAAAGUACUUUCAGCGGGGAGGAAGGGAGUAAAGUUAAUACCUUUGCUCAUUGACGUUACCCGCAGAAGAAGCACCGGCUAACUCCGUGCCAGCAGCCGCGGUAAUACGGAGGGUGCAAGCGUUAAUCGGAAUUACUGGGCGUAAAGCGCACGCAGGCGGUUUGUUAAGUCAGAUGUGAAAUCCCCGGGCUCAACCUGGGAACUGCAUCUGAUACUGGCAAGCUUGAGUCUCGUAGAGGGGGGUAGAAUUCCAGGUGUAGCGGUGAAAUGCGUAGAGAUCUGGAGGAAUACCGGUGGCGAAAGCGGCCCCCUGGACCAAGACGGACGCUCAGGUGCGAAAGCGUGGGGAGCAAACAGGAUUAGAU